CAAUAGCGUAUAUUAAAGUUGUUGCAGUUAAAAAGCUCGUAGUUGGAUUUCGGGGCAGCCUGGCUGGUCCGCCGCAAGGCGAGUACUGGUCAGCCGCCCUUCCUCUCGAAAGCCCCGACUGCUCUUCGUUGCGGUGGUCGGGUAGUUCGGGACGUUUACUUUGAAAAAAUUAGAGUGUUCAAGGCAGGCCUACGCCUGAAUACAUUAGCAUGGAAUAAUGGAAGAGGACCUCGGUCCUAUUUUGUUGGUUUCCAGGGCCGAAGUAAUGAUUAAGAGGGACAGUUGGGGGCAUUCGUAUUUAAUUGUCAGAGGUGAAAUUCUCGGAUUUAUGAAAGACGAACAACUGCGAAAGCAUUUGCCAAGGAUGUUUUCAUUAA
Molecule: ribosomal RNA, 377 nt
Filed under: uncultured eukaryote
Lineage: Eukaryota
Description: partial 18S ribosomal RNA
Rfam family: Eukaryotic small subunit ribosomal RNA
Source: RNAcentral